UGUUUUUUAGGCUCGGGCUCGAGCUUGAGCUCCUUUAAGCUCGGCUCGUUCGAGCUUUUUUUUCGAGCCGACCUCGAGUAGCUCGCGAGUAGCUCGGCUCGUUUGCACCCCUAGUCACAAUAGAAUGGUUUAAGAGCUAUAAAAAAACAAGUUGCGACCAAAGACUUCAGCCUUAAAGUUAACUAUGGUGGUAUGAUUCACAAGGCGUUUGAUGGCCCAGAAUGAAAUCGUGGAAAACGUCACAAGCCUCCGAAGGCCUCUGACAGAGCACAAGUUGAGUCUAAAGAAGUUAGGCUUCUUGAUUCAGGGCUAAUCCCACUUGAUGGUCAGGAUGUUCAAAUUGCCCAAAAGAUGUAAAAGAUAUUUUAACAACUUUGAAAGAUAGUGUAGAGGACAUCAGUGGCGUCCCAACAUUGUAAAGAACCAGAUCAAAUUUAGCCUUCUUGUCUCUCUUAUAAUUAUAAUAUCUUUGAUAUCAGAUGCUCUUAGUGCAUCACCAGACGAAAUGUCUAUCUUGUCACGUGAUGCUUCAUUCAGGCGUGAUUUCCAUGAAACUGUGAUGGCUAUUGGAAACGAUCAGAUAAUUGAGGGGUGUAUGCAUUGUGUUAGACUUGCAUGGGCCGUGCAUUUGAUGAUUUUACAAGAUGUAACUGAUGCAAGUGAGAUAAAUAACGAUGUGAGAAAUAUAAAUUCAUGCCUCGAAGUUGUUUUCUCAAAUAACGUUUUCCAGUUUCUGAUUGAUAAAGCUCUUCGAACGCCAGCCUACCAGAAUGAUGAUGAAGAUAUGAUCUACCUUUGCUCCAUAUUACGCUCCUCAAGCUGAAGUAUGUGCUAACUACACUUUUCAUCUUAUUAUUUAUUUUCUUCCUUUAAAAUGAGAAUUGUGUUUAUAGUGUCCUUAUUCUAUUAUAUUCAUUUGUUAUAUUUGUGCUUAUUUCAUUUCAUAAAAUUGAGUCAAGUAUUUCCUUAUACAAAUAUUUGAGGAGUUUGAUCCUGUACCUAUUGCAAGUGCUUCCCUUGCUUAGGUUCAUGUUGCUCGAACUCAUCAGGGUCAAAAAGUUGCUGUGAAGGUUUCAAAUUGUUUCUAUCAUUCCAUCUUAGUUUACAUUGGCGCUCAGUGGGGUGUAGUUCUCGCGGUUCUUACAACUCGCGGUGGUUUUCAUUCUAGCAGCCCCCCAUAUAUAUAUAUCCCAGGUGCAACAUAUGCACAUGACAGAUACUACAGAUGCAGAUUAUGCGACAGUGGAAUUGAUUGUCAACACGACAGUCUACCUAAGAAUGAAAAUGGGCUGCAAAUGAGCGAUAAGUCAAAUAUUGAGAGUGUACUUGGAAUAAGCUCUGUUCGUUUGCAUGGGUGGGGGCGUGAUCCGGUUAGUUCUAGUAGCACAAUGGGUGCUACUAAAAAUCAAAGUGUCUUGCUUACGAAGAUUUGGUGGAUGCUUACGAUGAGCUGGUGGAAGAACUUGGAACCAUGAAAGGUAAAUGCGCAAUUAUGGAACAAGCAUUGAUUGAGAAUAAUAUCAUGCCUCGUCCAUCAAGCAUACUAGAACAAUCUCAAUGUGAUACAUUAGAGGAUGUUGAAAACAUUGAUGAGUGAAGGCGAUUUAGUAGAUUCUAUAACUCGUUACUAACAUAUAAACACUUUUAGUUGUGUUUGUUUUAGUAUUUAAAUUUCUAUAACUAGUACUUUUAUUUGGUUGUUUGUAAGAUUGAUGUUUAUUAGUUUAA
Molecule: long non-coding RNA, 1728 nt
Organism: Helianthus annuus (common sunflower)
Lineage: Eukaryota; Viridiplantae; Streptophyta; Magnoliopsida; Asterales; Asteraceae
Exons: 7
Source: RefSeq, a predicted model, not a curated record